GAUGAAGAACGCAGCGAAAUGCGAUAAGUAAUGUGAAUUGCAGAAUUCAGUGAAUCAUCGAAUCUUUGAACGCACAUUGCGCCCGCCAGUAUUCUGGCGGGCAUGCCUGUUCGAGCGUCAUUACAACCCUCAGGCCCCCGGGCCUGGCGUUGGGGAUCGGCGGAGCCCCCCGUGGGUACACGCCGUCCCCCAAAUGCAGUGGCGGUCCCGCCGCAGCUUCCAUCGCGUAGUAGCUAACACCUCGCGACUGGAGAGCGGCGCGGCCACGCCGUAAAACACCCAACUCUUCUGAAGUUGACCUCGAAUCAGGUAGGAAUACCCGCUGAACUUAAGCAUAUCAAUAAGCGGAGGA
RNAcentral lists this unclassified non-coding RNA (352 nucleotides) under soil metagenome. Its description in RNAcentral is "partial contains 5.8S ribosomal RNA, internal transcribed spacer 2, and large subunit ribosomal RNA". The stretch from base 1 to 120 matches the Rfam family "5.8S ribosomal RNA", at positions 35 to 154 of the family's 154-position model. The record is from RNAcentral.